This 255-nucleotide ribosomal RNA is filed under the name uncultured prokaryote. RNAcentral's name for it is "partial 16S ribosomal RNA". It matches the Rfam family "Bacterial small subunit ribosomal RNA", at positions 521 to 775 of the family's 1533-position model. The record is from RNAcentral.
UAACACGUAGGGGGCGAGCGUUGUCCGGAUUCAUUGGGCGUAAAGAGCGUGUAGGCGGCCAGGUAGGUCCGUUGUGAAAACUCGAGGCUCAACCUCGAGACGUCGAUGGAAACCAUCUGGCUAGAGUCCGGAAGAGGAGAGUGGAAUUCCUGGUGUAGCGGUGAAAUGCGCAGAUAUCAGGAAGAACACCUAUGGCGAAGGCAGCUCUCUGGGACGGUACUGACGCUGAGACGCGAAAGCGUGGGGAGCGAACAG